RNAcentral lists this transfer RNA (72 nucleotides) under Bacteroidia bacterium. It matches the Rfam family "tRNA". Rfam says of the family: Transfer RNA (tRNA) molecules are approximately 80 nucleotides in length. Lineage: Bacteria; Pseudomonadati; Bacteroidota; Bacteroidia. The record is from Rfam by way of RNAcentral.
GCUGUUUUAGCUCAGGGGUAGAGUACUUCCUUGGUAAGGAAGAGGUCACGGGUUCAAUUCCCGUAAACAGCU